This 629-nucleotide ribosomal RNA is filed under the name uncultured bacterium. RNAcentral's name for it is "bacterial SSU rRNA". The stretch from base 1 to 554 matches the Rfam family "Bacterial small subunit ribosomal RNA", at positions 338 to 873 of the family's 1533-position model. The record is from RNAcentral.
CCUACGGGAGGCAGCAGUGGGGAAUUUUGGUACAAUGGGCGGCAAGCCUGAUCCAGCAAUGCCGCGUGAGUGAAGAAGGCCUUCGGGUUGUAAAGCUCUUUUGUCAGGGAAGAAACGGUCUACUCUAAUACAGUGGGCUAAUGACGGUACCUGAAGAAUAAGCACCGGCUAACUACGUGCCAGCAGCCGCGGUAAUACGUAGGGUGCAAGCGUUAAUCGGAAUUACUGGGCGUAAAGCGUGCGCAGGCGGUUAUAUAAGUCAGAUGUGAAAUCCCCGGGCUCAACCUGGGAACUGCAUUUGAGACUGUAUGGCUAGAGUGUGUCAGAGGGGGGUAGAAUUCCACGUGUAGCAGUGAAAUGCGUAGAUAUGUGGAGGAAUACCGAUGGCGAAGGCAGCCCCCUGGGAUAACACUGACGCUCAUGCACGAAAGCGUGGGGAGCAAACAGGAUUAGAUACCCUGGUAGUCCACGCCCUAAACGAUGUCUACUAGUUGUCGGGACUUAAUGUNUGUAGNAGNACGACGNGAGAGACGCCGCGGGUAAGGUAGGUCGCGAGAAGUUAAAACUUAAACUAAGUUAAGUUAGUUAGGACGGNGNGAGAGCGACGACGACGACGACGGAGGAGGAGG